AUCCAGUUGAAGAGUCCCAAAUAGGAUGAAGCACCCAUCCUGGAU
Molecule: non-coding RNA, 45 nt
Filed under: Schistosoma curassoni
Lineage: Eukaryota; Metazoa; Platyhelminthes; Trematoda; Strigeidida; Schistosomatidae
Source: RNAcentral